Molecule: long non-coding RNA, 1534 nt
Filed under: Sus scrofa (pig)
Lineage: Eukaryota; Metazoa; Chordata; Mammalia; Artiodactyla; Suidae
Description: lncRNA (ENSSSCG00070014036.1)
Source: RNAcentral
AUGGAGAUCCUCCCUUCUACAGCUGUCCUGAGCAUGGAACUAAGUGACGGUAAGUUUCCUCCUCCACUUAGAAUCCCACCCCCUCCCCCAAUUCUUUGCAGGAUAACUCCGGCAGAAAGCCUGGUCUCUCCAGCCCUCUCUGUAAGCAUGAGGAGCCACACAUUCCAUCUCUACCUGUGUCCAGAAAGAGGUUUCCCAGGGAAAGUGUGGAGACAUAGACUGUUUCCAGGCAGCAGUGGAUGCAGGAGGAAGGUGAUAAAGCUGCUCAGGGCCAUGGACAUCAAGGAUGGCAGCUGGGCAGCUGUGCCAGCCUAUGCUCCCUGGGAUCUCUGCUUCCACCUGGGAGCCCAGGGCUUGGAGAGUGACCUACCACCAGCUGUCUGCAGUUUUGACUCCAUCAAGGUCCUGUCCACCUACCAGAUACUCAUGCUGUGGCUCUUGAAUCAGAUCACCUGGGUUAGAACCCUGGCUCCAUCACUUACCCUGCGAGUCUCUCGAGACAAGGCUGGUUCAAUCUGGAUUCAGGCAAUCUGAAGAAGAGCAGAGGCACCUUGGGUAUGUCAGACAUCCCCUUAAUGGCUUCACAAAUGAUGGUGGUGCAGAAAGUCCUGUCCGCCUUUUAUACUGGUACAGAACAAAGCCUGCAAUUUGCCAAGGCGUUACAUAAGGGGUGGUGGUCAUUGAAUUCUACUGCACAUUCACAGGCAUAGUUAUGAUUAGAUAACAGUCCUUCCUGGAACAACAUGGCGGCUAGGCUGAGUAACUAGGCUGAGACUGAGUUACUCCAUUUUCCACACACAUAUAAAUAUAUCCAUUCUUUUUCCCAAUAUAGGUUAUUUAUUUAUUUAUUUAUUAAAUUUUGUCUUUUUAGGCUGCACCUGCGGCAUAUGGAGUUUCCCAGGCUAGGGGUCGAAUCAGAGCUACAGUUGCUGGCCUAUACCACAGCCACAGCAAUGCCAGAUCCAAGCCACAUCUGUGACCAACACCACAUUUCAGAGCAACACUGGUUCUUUAACUCACUGAGCAAGCCAGGGAUCGAACCAGCAACCUCAUGGUUCCUAGUCGGAUUCGUUUCUGCUGCGCCACAACAGGCACUCCCCCAUAUAGGUUAUUUAAUGUGUAUCUUUUGGUUUGCAUGUGUCUGCAAAUCUGUCUUGUGUGCAAGCAUCUGAAUUGGUUUUGUUUUUUAGGUCUCACUUGGUUGUUUCACAUUUUCCCCUCAGCACUUGGUGUUUCUAUCCAAGUUGCAGUGAAUACACCUGGUCCCUUGCAUUUAUAGUUGCAAGGUAGUACCAUAUUUUACCCAUCCAUCCACUCUCCUAUGUGGGCACUUAGGUUGCUUCCAAUCCCCAGCAACUACAAAAUAUCAACCCAGCAACAACAUCCUCUUAUGUGUUCCUUUUUGAGCCUGUAAGAGUUAGUUCACACGUAUUUAAUUCCCUCAUUACUGCCAGAUUGUUUUCCAGAAUGGCUGCCCGACUUUACUCCCAUCAGCAGGGCACCUGGCCUAUGACACUCCUCAUUCCUCACCACC